UACGAAGGGGGCGAGCGUUGUUCGGAUUUACUGGGCGUAAAGGGCGCGCAGGCGGCUCCUUUUGUCAGGCGUGAAAGCCCCGGGCUUAACCUGGGAACUGCGUUUGAUACGGAUGGGCUAGAGUUCGGGAGAGGAGAGCGGAAUUCCCAGUGUAGAGGUGAAAUUCGUAGAUAUUGGGAGGAACACCAGUGGCGAAGGCGGCUCACUGGACCGGAACUGACGCUGAGGCGCGAAAGCCAGGGGAGCAAACGGG
Molecule: ribosomal RNA, 253 nt
Filed under: uncultured bacterium
Lineage: Bacteria
Description: partial 16S ribosomal RNA
Rfam family: Bacterial small subunit ribosomal RNA
Source: RNAcentral